RNAcentral lists this long non-coding RNA (362 nucleotides) under Prunus persica (peach). Its description in RNAcentral is "long non-coding RNA (PPER_LNC002412)". Lineage: Eukaryota; Viridiplantae; Streptophyta; Magnoliopsida; Rosales; Rosaceae. The record is from RNAcentral.
AAAAGAUGACGGUGGAUUCCACGACCAUUGAAAAACCGAAUACACGACGGUGAUUUACCGUCGUCUUUUUGCUUUUUUGUAGUAGUGUGAAUACAUUCUUUAAAUGCACUUUCGGAACCCCAAACAACCUCAGAAGUCCAAAAUCCACCAUAUGUCACAGCAUUGCUGUGGGUUGGAGGCAUGGAGUCGUUCCCUUUUCGAGAAGGUAUUAUGCGACCCAAUCUGUAAAUUCCCGAUGUGUUCAUUCUUCAAUCUAUUCAGCCACUUGUUCUAAAUAACAUAUAUAUAUAUAUGUUUUGACUUGAAAGUUUGUAGGUUUUGGAUAGGGAUAUGAAUUCUUCUUCUUCUUCUCCUCUUCCUUU